AUCGCUUCUCGGACUUUUGGCUAAGAUCAAGUGUAGUAUCUGUUCUUAUCAGUUUACUAUCUGAUAUGUCCUCUAUAUUAAAUGGAUUUUUGGGACUGCGAGAUGGAAUAGGGGAAAAUAAAAAAAAGAAAGUCACAAUUCACUACCCGAGAUCUUAAUUAUA
This 163-nucleotide small nuclear RNA is filed under the name Salvator merianae (Argentine black and white tegu). RNAcentral describes it as "U2 spliceosomal RNA (ENSSMRG00000001808.1)". The stretch from base 1 to 121 matches the Rfam family "U2 spliceosomal RNA". Rfam says of the family: U2 is a small nuclear RNA (snRNA) component of the spliceosome (involved in pre-mRNA splicing). Complementary binding between U2 snRNA (in an area lying towards the 5' end but 3' to hairpin I) and the branchpoint sequence (BPS) of the intron results the bulging out of an unpaired adenosine, on the BPS, which initiates a nucleophilic attack at the intronic 5' splice site, thus starting the first of two transesterification reactions that mediate splicing. Lineage: Eukaryota; Metazoa; Chordata; Lepidosauria; Squamata; Teiidae. The record is from RNAcentral.